AGUUUGAUCCUGCUCAGGAUGAACGCUGGCAGUGUGCCUAAGACAUGCAAGUCGAACGGAAGACUUUUAGAGCUUGCUCUAGAGGUUUUUAGUGGCGAACGGGUGAGUAAUACGUGGGCGACCUACCUCCAAGUACGGCAUAACCCCGGGAAACCGGAGCUAAUUCCGUAUGUGCUUACGUCUUUUUUGACGUACGUAAAGAUUUAUUGCUUGGAGAUGGGCCCGCGGCGCAUCAGCUAGUUGGUAGGGUAAAGGCCUGCCAAGGCGACGACGCGUAGCCGACCUGAGAGGGUGACCGGCCACAGGGGCACUGAGACACGGGCCCCACUCCUACGGGAGGCAGCAGUUAGGAAUCUUCGGCAAUGGGGGAAACCCUGACCGAGCGACACUGCGUGGAGGAUGAAGGUUUUCGGAUCGUAAACUCCUGAACGAGGGACGAAAAAUGACGGUACCUCGCUAAUAGCACCGGCUAACUCCGUGCCAGCAGCCGCGGUAAUACGGAGGGUGCGAGCGUUAUCCGGAAUCACUGGGCGUAAAGGGCGCGUAGGCGGUUUGUCAAGUCCGACGUUAAAGCGUGAGGCUCAACCUCAUCACGGCGUUGGAUACUAGCAAGCUUGACGGUUGGAGAGGAAGGUAGAAUUACCAGUGUAGCGGUGGAAUGCGUAGAUACUGGUAGGAAUGCCCAUUGCGAAGGCAGCCUUCUGGACAACACGUGACGCUGAGGCGCGAAAGUGUGGGGGAGCAAACCGGAUUAGAUACCCGGGGUAGUCCACACCCUAAACGACGCACACUUGGUGUCGGCCCGUUGGGGUCGGUGCCGGAGUUAACGCGUUAAGUAUGCCGCCUGGGAAGUACGGGCCGCNAGGNUGAAACUCAAAGGAAUUGACGGGNCCCGCACAGCG
This 902-nucleotide ribosomal RNA is filed under the name uncultured bacterium. RNAcentral describes it as "bacterial SSU rRNA". It matches the Rfam family "Bacterial small subunit ribosomal RNA", at positions 10 to 931 of the family's 1533-position model. The record is from RNAcentral.